RNAcentral lists this ribosomal RNA (254 nucleotides) under uncultured bacterium. Its description in RNAcentral is "partial 16S ribosomal RNA". It matches the Rfam family "Bacterial small subunit ribosomal RNA", at positions 524 to 776 of the family's 1533-position model. The record is from RNAcentral.
UACGUAGGGUGCGAGCGUUGUCCGGAAUUAUUGGGCGUAAAGAGCUCGUAGGCGGUCUGUCGCGUCGGUCGUGAAAACUUGGGGCUUAACCCUGAGCUUGCGGUCGAUACGGGCAUGACUGGAGUUCGGCAGGGGAGACUGGAAUUCCUGGUGUAGCGGUGAAAUGCGCAGAUAUCAGGAGGAACACCCGUGGCGAAAGCGGCUCUCUGGGACGGUACUGACGCUGAGACGCGAAAGCGUGGGGAGCAAACAGG